GAAUCCCGUCUUUGGCAUGGAUGACCGGGGCUUUUGUGAUGCGCUCUCGAAGAGUCGAGUUGUUUGGGAAUGCAGCUCAAAAUGGGUGGUGAACUCCAUCUAAAGCUAAAUAUUGGCGAGAGACCGAUAGCGAACAAGUACCGUGAGGGAAAGAUGAAAAGCACUUUGGAAAGAGAGUGAAACAGUACGUGAAAUUGUUGAAAGGGAAACGCUUGAAGUCAGUCGCGUCGACCGAGACUCAGCCUCGCCUUGGCUUGGUGUACUUCUCGGCACGACGGGUCAGCAUCAAUUUUGCCCCUCGGAUAAUGGCAGGGGAAAGGUGGCACCUUUACGGGUGUGUUAUAGUCUUCUGUCGCAUGCGAGGGGUGGGAUUGAGGAACUCAGCGCGCACCUCAGUGUCGGGGCUUCGGCCCACGUCACGCGCUUAGGAUGCUGGCGUAAUGGCUUUAAACGACCCGUCUUGAAACACGGACCAAGGAGUCUAACAUACGCGCGAGUGUUUGGGUGGAAAACCCAUGCGCGCAAUGAAAGUAAAAGUUGGGACCUCUGUCGUGGAGGGCACCGACGCCCGGACCAGACCUUCUGUGACGGCUCUGCGGUAGAGCGUGUAUGUUGGGACCCGAAAGAUGGUGAACUAUGCCUGAAUAGGGUGAAGCCAGAGGAAACUCUGGUGGAGGCUCGUAGCGAUUCUGACGUGCAAAUCGAUCGUCAAAUUUGGGUAUAGGGGCGAAAGACUAAUCGAACCAUCUAGUAGCUGGUUCCUGCC
This 766-nucleotide ribosomal RNA is filed under the name uncultured Lactarius. RNAcentral describes it as "eukaryotic LSU rRNA". It matches the Rfam family "Eukaryotic large subunit ribosomal RNA", at positions 216 to 962 of the family's 3401-position model. The record is from RNAcentral. Lineage: Eukaryota; Fungi; Basidiomycota; Agaricomycetes; Russulales; Russulaceae.